This 476-nucleotide ribosomal RNA is filed under the name Micrococcineae bacterium BF.4. RNAcentral's name for it is "bacterial SSU rRNA". It matches the Rfam family "Bacterial small subunit ribosomal RNA", at positions 15 to 502 of the family's 1533-position model. The record is from RNAcentral. Lineage: Bacteria; Bacillati; Actinomycetota; Actinomycetes; Micrococcales.
AUCCCUGGCUCAGGAUGAACGCUGGCGGCGUGCUUAACACAUGCAAGUCGAACGGUGAACACGGAGCUUGCUCUGUGGGAUCAGUGGCGAACGGGUGAGUAACACGUGAGCAACCUGCCCCUGACUCUGGGAUAAGCGCUGGAAACGGCGUCUAAUACUGGAUAUGUGACGUGACCGCAUGGUCUGCGUCUGGAAAGAAUUUCGGUUGGGGAUGGGCUCGCGGCCUAUCAGCUUGUUGGUGAGGUAAUGGCUCACCAAGGCGUCGACGGGUAGCCGGCCUGAGAGGGUGACCGGCCACACUGGGACUGAGACACGGCCCAGACUCCUACGGGAGGCAGCAGUGGGGAAUAUUGCACAAUGGGCGCAAGCCUGAUGCAGCAACGCCGCGUGAGGGACGACGGCCUUCGGGUUGUAAACCUCUUUUAGCAGGGAAGAAGCGAAAGUGACGGUACCUGCAGAAAAAGCGCCGGCUAACU